Long non-coding RNA from Pocillopora damicornis (cauliflower coral), 205 nucleotides. The record is from RefSeq and is a predicted model, not a curated record. NCBI's taxonomy places the organism in Eukaryota, Metazoa, Cnidaria, Anthozoa, Scleractinia, Pocilloporidae.
AGUCUGCAGCAACAUAUGUCAACUGGAAAGAUACAAACAUCAAUAUUACUGACACACCAGAAUGGGAGCAAAUCCAACCAGAGUUUUAAGUCAAAUUAGAGCAAAGUUACAAAACACAGGCAGCCUUCACCCAGUUGCCAAUUGGUUUGGAAUCUGAGUAAAAGUAGUCAUUGACCUUGUGCGAUGGAAGGCUUAUUACUUUGAG